Molecule: unclassified non-coding RNA, 284 nt
Filed under: Hevea brasiliensis (rubber tree)
Lineage: Eukaryota; Viridiplantae; Streptophyta; Magnoliopsida; Malpighiales; Euphorbiaceae
Source: RNAcentral
GGAAGAUGUCGUCAUCGUCGGCGUCGGCGGCGGUGCGGGUGGAGAAGGCCACUAGCGAGCUGCUGAUCGGGCCGGAUUGGACGAUGAACAUCGAUAUCUGCGACUCGAUCAAUCUGGAUCACUGGCAAGUAAAAGAUGUUGUCAAAGCUGUCAAGAAGCGCCUGCAGAACAAAAACCCAAAGGUUCAGUUUCUUGCGUUGACACUCUUGGAGACGAUGAUAAAGAAUUGUGGCGAAUAUGUGCAUUCUCAAGUUGUUGAGCGUGAUAUUUUACAAGAAAUGAUU